AUGCGGAAUCACUGGGCUUAAAGGGUGCGUAGGCGGCGCGGCAAGUUGGGUGUGAAAUCCCUCGGCUCAACCGAGGAAUUGCGCCCAAAACUUCCGUGCUCGAGGAAGAUAGAGGUGAGCGGAACUUAGGGUGGAGCGGUGAAAUGCGUUGAUAUCCUAAGGAACACCGGUGGCGAAAGCGGCUCACUGGAUCUUUUCUGACGCUGAGGCACGAAAGCUAGGGUAGCGAACGGG
Molecule: ribosomal RNA, 234 nt
Filed under: uncultured bacterium
Lineage: Bacteria
Description: partial 16S ribosomal RNA
Rfam family: Bacterial small subunit ribosomal RNA
Source: RNAcentral